AGUUUGAUCCUGGCUCAGAACGAACGCUGGCGGCAUGCCUAACACAUGCAAGUCGAACGAGACCUUCGGGUCUAGUGGCGCACGGGUGCGUAACGCGUGGGAAUCUGCCCUUGGGUUCGGAAUAACAGCGAGAAAUUGCUGCUAAUACCGGAUGAUGACGUAAGUCCAAAGAUUUAUCGCCCAAGGAUGAGCCCGCGUAGGAUUAGCUAGUUGGUGAGGUAAAGGCUCACCAAGGCGACGAUCCUUAGCUGGUCUGAGAGGAUGAUCAGCCACACUGGGACUGAGACACGGCCCAGACUCCUACGGGAGGCAGCAGUGGGGAAUAUUGGACAAUGGGCGAAAGCCUGAUCCAGCAAUGCCGCGUGAGUGAUGAAGGCCUUAGGGUUGUAAAGCUCUUUUACCCGGGAUGAUAAUGACAGUACCGGGAGAAUAAGCUCCGGCUAACUCCGUG
RNAcentral lists this ribosomal RNA (451 nucleotides) under uncultured bacterium. Its description in RNAcentral is "bacterial SSU rRNA". It matches the Rfam family "Bacterial small subunit ribosomal RNA", at positions 10 to 507 of the family's 1533-position model. The record is from RNAcentral.